RNAcentral lists this ribosomal RNA (495 nucleotides) under uncultured bacterium. RNAcentral's name for it is "partial 16S ribosomal RNA". It matches the Rfam family "Bacterial small subunit ribosomal RNA", at positions 28 to 507 of the family's 1533-position model. The record is from RNAcentral.
GACGAACGCUGGCGGCGUGCCUAAUACAUGCAAGUCGAACGCUGAAGGAGGAGCUUGCUUCUCUGGAUGAGUUGCGAACGGGUGAGUAACGCGUAGGUAACCUGCCUGGUAGCGGGGGAUAACUAUUGGAAACGAUAGCUAAUACCGCAUAAUAGCAGUUGUUGCAUGACAACUGUUUGAAAGGUGCAAUUGCACCACUACCAGAUGGACCUGCGUUGUAUUAGCUAGUUGGUGGGGUAACGGCUCACCAAGGCGACGAUACAUAGCCGACCUGAGAGGGUGAUCGGCCACACUGGGACUGAGACACGGCCCAGACUCCUACGGGAGGCAGCAGUAGGGAAUCUUCGGCAAUGGACGGGAGUCUGACCGAGCAACGCCGCGUGAGUGAAGAAGGUUUUCGGAUCGUAAAGCUCUGUUGUAAGAGAAGAACGAGUGUGAGAGUGGAAAGUUCACACUGUGACGGUAUCUUACCAGAAAGGGACGGCUAACUACGUG